This 496-nucleotide ribosomal RNA is filed under the name uncultured bacterium. RNAcentral's name for it is "partial 16S ribosomal RNA". It matches the Rfam family "Bacterial small subunit ribosomal RNA", at positions 28 to 506 of the family's 1533-position model. The record is from RNAcentral.
GAUGAACGCCGGCGGCGUGCCUAAUACAUGCAAGUCGAGCGAACAGACGAGGAGCUUGCUCCUCUGACGUUAGCGGCGGACGGGUGAGUAACACGUGGAUAACCUACCUAUAAGACUGGGAUAACUUCGGGAAACCGGAGCUAAUACCGGAUAAUAUAUUGAACCGCAUGGUUCAAUAGUGAAAGACGGUUUUGCUGUCACUUAUAGAUGGAUCCGCGCCGCAUUAGCUAGUUGGUAAGGUAACGGCUUACCAAGGCAACGAUGCGUAGCCGACCUGAGAGGGUGAUCGGCCACACUGGAACUGAGACACGGUCCAGACUCCUACGGGAGGCAGCAGUAGGGAAUCUUCCGCAAUGGGCGAAAGCCUGACGGAGCAACGCCGCGUGAGUGAUGAAGGUCUUCGGAUCGUAAAACUCUGUUAUUAGGGAAGAACAAAUGUGUAAGUAACUAUGCACGUCUUGACGGUACCUAAUCAGAAAGCCACGGCUAACUACGU